UGAGGACUACAAAUUAGCAAACAAAGAGACCCAAGUCCUUUUAAUGACACUGGGAGGCAGUACAGCCUGCAGGGUGCACAGUGGCCCAGGAAGCUGGGCCUUAGAGGUGGGUGAGAUGGCCCUUUCACUCCUGCCUGGGGAGCCAGUCUCCUGGCUGAAACCAACUGCCCCAGCCACACAGCACAUGGAGGGCUAAUCUGAGCACUGGGGUGGCUCUACUGUAGUUUAAACUCUACAACACGGUGGUCUGACGCUCUGGUCUUCAUUUCUGGAACUGCUCUGUUUUAGAACAAUACACAGAAUACCCUCUAGGGAAAACAACUGGUUAUCACCAAGUGUUACUUCCCCAAAAGGGCCUUUCUUAACCACCAACCCAGAGAGGACUCUCAAAUCACUCCCCCUUUCAUUUUUAUUAUAGCACUUAUGGUUCCCUGUUUGUUUUUAAUUGACUGCUUUUCCAGCUAUGUAAAAGCAAUAAAGAGCAAGAACCUCCGAGCCUCAUUUGAUGCUGAAUUUCCAGGUCUCACGGAGCUAGCUGGCAUUUAUAAAGUGCUCAAUAAAUGCUGAGUAAUGACUAAACAACUACUACACAUAUAGAAGUUUCUGAAUUUUUAAAACAAAGAAAGGGGUGGGGAAACAGUAGGGAGAGUUUCACUCCUAAUUUGCUGAAAUCUUUAUGAAUGCAAAUCUGAGCUCCUCUCCGCUUAGUAAUUCUUAUCAAAUGACUGCCAGUGUGGCUCUCUAAAAUAGGAUAGUGUGGAGGACAGAACUUCAAAGGCUGCAUGACUGAUCCAGCAACGAGACGAGAGAGGAACACUGGAGACUCUGAUUAAGUGCAGCCCAGCCGACUGGAGUCUCACUGGCCGCUGCAAAUCCCUCUGGAGGCAACACAGAGGAUGAACUGGCAGAAAGGAAGCCUGGAGGCAGGAAAAUUAUCCAAAGGCAGGAAAAUAAUCCAGAUGGAAAGUCUGAGCACCUGCGCUGGGGCUGUGAGACUGCUGCAUGAGAGCAAAGACUCGAGACAGACCCAAACUACAGAGCUGAUGGGACUGGGAUGCAAAUUCCUUGAGAGUAGAGAGCUUCAAAGGGAGCGCCUCGGAGAAGAACUGUCACUGUGUGGACACACUGAAUUCAAGGCCAGCAAAGACCGAGGCAAUUUACAAAGCUAGGUUCCCACCAAGGCUGGUGGUCAUGUCAAAAAUGAAAUGAAGUAAAAUAAAUAUUACCUAUAAAGAUAA
Sus scrofa (pig) is the source of this 1238-nucleotide non-coding RNA. The record is from RefSeq and is a predicted model, not a curated record. NCBI's taxonomy places the organism in Eukaryota, Metazoa, Chordata, Mammalia, Artiodactyla, Suidae.